UCUUGGGGUUGUAGGACACUCUAUACGGAGUUACAAAAGAAAGUUAUAAAUGAAGCGGUCUGGAAAGGCCCGCCAAAGACGGUAACAGCCCGGUAGUUGAAAUGGCUUUCCCUCCAGAGUGGAUCCUGAGUACGGCGGAACACGUGAAAUUCCGUCGGAAUCCGGGAGGACCAUCUCCCAAGGCUAAAUACUCCCUAGUGACCGAUAGUGAACCAGUACCGUGAGGGAAAGGUGAAAAGCACCCCGGAAGGGGAGUGAAACAGUUCCUGAAACCGUGUGCCUACAAGUAGUUAGAGCCCGUUAAUGGGUGAUAGCGUGCCUUUUGUAGAAUGAACCGGCGAGUUACGAUUUGUUGCAAGGUUAAGCGGAAAAAGCGGAGCCGUAGCGAAAGCGAGUCUGAAUAGGGCGCAUAAGUAACAGGUCGUAGACCCGAAACCAGGUGAUCUACCCAUGUCCAGGAUGAAGGUAAGGUAAUACUUACUGGAGGUCCGAACCCACGCACGUUGAAAAGUGCGGGGAUGAGGUGUGGGUAGCGGAGAAAUUCCAAUCGAACUUGGAGAUAGCUGGUUCUCUCCGAAAUAGCUUUAGGGCUAGCCUCGAGGUAAAGAGUCAUGGAGGUAGAGCACUGUUUGGACUAGGGGCCCUUCUCGGGUUACCGAAUUCAGAUAAACUCCGAAUGCCAUGUACUUAUACUCGGGAGUCAGACUGCGAGUGAUAAGAUCCGUAGUCGAAAGGGAAACAGCCCAGACCACCAGUUAAGGUCCCCAAAUAUAUGUUAAGUGGAAAAGGAUGUGGGGUUGCUUAGACAACCAGGAUGUUGGCUUAGAAGCAGCCACCAUUGAAAGAGUGCGUAAUAGCUCACUGGUCGAGUGACCCCGCGCCGAAAAUGUACCGGGGCUAAACAUAUUAC
Molecule: ribosomal RNA, 910 nt
Filed under: Listeria monocytogenes
Lineage: Bacteria; Bacillati; Bacillota; Bacilli; Caryophanales; Listeriaceae
Description: partial 23S ribosomal RNA
Rfam family: Bacterial large subunit ribosomal RNA
Source: RNAcentral